Long non-coding RNA from Astatotilapia calliptera (eastern happy), 269 nucleotides. NCBI's taxonomy places the organism in Eukaryota, Metazoa, Chordata, Actinopteri, Cichliformes, Cichlidae. The record is from Ensembl.
GUUCCUCAGAACUAAACAGCAGAGGCGGUUUUCCAGUUUAGAAGAUAAGCUGAGUGUUUCCAGUCUCCCUGCAGUCAAAGGUGGAUCUUUGAACCACGUUUUAAUUGAAGAAAGUUGCUUAUUUGUGGAUUCUGCACUUUUCUUUCAGAGACACAGCCAGCCAGGUGGACAGCAGGUGAGCCAGAGUCGGAAGUGACACGUGGCAGAAGCUACUCAUUAGCCAGGAGUCAAAACAACAACAUCAGAUCAAAGUUUAAAGUGAGAACGUG